GCCUGGGUGGCUCAGUGGUUGAGCAUCUGCCUUUGGCUCAGGACAUGAUCUCAGGAUCGAGUCCUGCAUUGGGCU
Molecule: transfer RNA, 75 nt
Filed under: Canis lupus familiaris (dog)
Lineage: Eukaryota; Metazoa; Chordata; Mammalia; Carnivora; Canidae
Rfam family: tRNA
About the family: Transfer RNA (tRNA) molecules are approximately 80 nucleotides in length. Their secondary structure includes four short double-helical elements and three loops (D, anti-codon, and T loops). Further hydrogen bonds mediate the characteristic L-shaped molecular structure. tRNAs have two regions of fundamental functional importance: the anti-codon, which is responsible for specific mRNA codon recognition, and the 3' end, to which the tRNAs corresponding amino acid is attached (by aminoacyl-tRNA synthetases). tRNAs cope with the degeneracy of the genetic code in two manners: having more than one tRNA (with a specific anti-codon) for a particular amino acid; and 'wobble' base-pairing, i.e. permitting non-standard base-pairing at the 3rd anti-codon position.
Source: Rfam by way of RNAcentral